GUCCCUGUAGCUCAGCUGGAUAGAGCGACCGCCUCCUAAGCGGUAGGCCGGAGGUUCAAAUCCUCUCAGGGAUGCCA
Molecule: transfer RNA, 77 nt
Filed under: Candidatus Agathobaculum merdipullorum
Lineage: Bacteria; Bacillati; Bacillota; Clostridia; Eubacteriales; Butyricicoccaceae
Description: tRNA-Arg
Rfam family: tRNA
About the family: Transfer RNA (tRNA) molecules are approximately 80 nucleotides in length. Their secondary structure includes four short double-helical elements and three loops (D, anti-codon, and T loops).
Source: RNAcentral